UUCCACCAAUGUUCCAGUUUCAUUUCGGCUUCUCGGCGCCUGACCCCACUUUCCUCUCUUCCUUUGAUUCUCGACUUUGCGUCCCUUCCCCUCUCCCUCCCCUUUCCCUCGGCCUCUAGCUGCUGCUGGUGAAGGACAGCCUCCUCUGCGUCUUCCCAAAGUGAUUGGAAAGUCGAACAAAGGAUUCGAAGCCGUGCUUUCGUUGUGUUUUUAUUUUCAGCAUAUUUUUGUUUUGGAAAUUACUUUAUUUUGUUUUAAAUGGUUACCUUCAGUUUUGUGUACAACGCCUUGGAAACAAGAAAGUCGAGUUAAAAAGACGUGAGGUAGAGCUCCUCCCAGUCGACAAGUUUUUGUCAAACAUUUCAUCCAUUAAGGGGUCCUCAAGUCCUUGUGUUAAGUCCUAUGGAUGGGAGGGGGAGAGGGUGAGGACUCUCCUGCUUACAGUGCAGUACACAAGCUAACACCCAAUGAAUCAAUUAUUUCAUUUCAUUUUUCUGUUUCUCACGGUGCCGUUGAUUUCUGCAGAGACAGUGUUAACAAUUCCAGUUUCAUUUAGGAGUGCCCUGCGGCAGUGCGUCUCAAACUUCUUUCAGCCUUCACUGCAAAGGAGAGUGAUUCUGGAUCGCUGGGGACACUGCUUGAAGCAGUUAAAAACAUGAAAUCCCUUUUCAUAGGCAACCAAUAUUAUCGAUGUUUUUGGUGUGUAUUCUGGAGAUAACAGUUUUUUCCUUUGAAAGCACAUGUAUAAAUGAUAUACGUGUAUAUUUAUAUACAUAUAUGUAUGUAUAUGCCUCCAGCUGAUGAGUGUUUAAUGAUCUCCAUCCCCCACCAAACCUCUAAGUAAAAUGGACACUUUAGGAAUGCACGAUGCUUAGCUGGUGUCUUUUGCGUGCUUCCUAACACAGAACUUCAGGUAUAGUCAUAUCUUCGUUUAAGAUGCACAAUUAAAGAAAUGCAUUUGAUCUAGGUUUAAUACAUUUUUGGGGAGGCAAGGCGAGAUGUUUGCCUCGGACUUCAAGUCACAUCCCCUUGAUCUGAUUACACUUAGAUUUAUUUAUGUAGCACAGUAACUUGAUGUCAGUAGUCGUGAGGAGUGAAUUUUGAUAAUAAAGCUUUUAAUCCUUAAAAGACAUUGACAUUUAUGUUAGUUAUAUCUCUGUUUAUUUCUUGUUUUGUUUUCUUUUUCUCAUGAUCUCUCUUUUGGAGCUGCCCUUUCUGAAAAGGCAGGUAUCAUCAAAUCCAUUCUCAGUUCUAAUGUUACCUGGCUGUUUUCCCCAGUAUGCCUCUGGAUUUAAGAUGUGCACAAAUUAAUUUUUAAGUACGCUUCUGCUUUUCCUUUUGUUCUUGUUUUUUUUUUUAAAUUUUAUAAUUUAGAUUUUAGGUCUUCACUGCCUCUUAUGCUUUUCUUAAUAGUGUAUGUUUAACUUCCGGAUAUAAAUUCUCAGAAAUAAAACAUGAUCCGUUGGUUGA
Callithrix jacchus (white-tufted-ear marmoset) is the source of this 1470-nucleotide non-coding RNA. The record is from RefSeq and is a predicted model, not a curated record. NCBI's taxonomy places the organism in Eukaryota, Metazoa, Chordata, Mammalia, Primates, Cebidae.